GACGAACGCUGGCGGCGUGCUUAACACAUGCAAGUCGAACGGUGAAGCGCCUUCCUUUUUGGUGGGUGUGGAUGAGUGGCGAACUGGUGAGUAACACGUGAGUAACCUGCCCCCUUCUUCUGGAUAACCGCAUGAAAGUGUGGCUAAUACGGGAUAUUCUGGUUCUGUCGCAUGAUGGGUCUGGGAAAGAUAUUGUUUCGGUGGGGGAUGGGCUCGCGGCCUAUCAGCUUGUUGGUGGGGUGAUGGCCUACCAAGGCGGUGACGGGUAGCCGGCCUGAGAGGGUGGACGGUCACACUGGGACUGAGACACGGCCCAGACUCGUACGGGAGGCAGCAGUGGGGAAUAUUGCACAAUGGGCGCAAGCCUGAUGCAGCGACGCCGCGAGAGGGAUGGAGGCCUUCGGGUUGUGAACCUCUUUCGCCAGUGAAGCAGGCCUGCCUCGUUUGUGGGUGGGUUGACGGUAGCUGGAUAAGAAGCGCCGGCUAACUACGUG
Molecule: ribosomal RNA, 494 nt
Filed under: uncultured bacterium
Lineage: Bacteria
Description: partial 16S ribosomal RNA
Rfam family: Bacterial small subunit ribosomal RNA
Source: RNAcentral